CGCUGGCGGCGUGCUUAACACAUGCAAGUCGAACGAGAAUCUGUGGAUCGAGGAUUCGUCCAAGUGAAGCAGAGGACAGUGGCGGACGGGUGAGUAACGCGUGAGGAACCUGCCUUUCAGAGGGGGGACAACAGUUGGAAACGACUGCUAAUACCGCAUGAUACGUUUUAGGGGCAUCCCUGAGACGUCAAAGAUUUAUCGCUGAAAGAUGGCCUCGCGUCUGAUUAGCUAGUUGGUGAGGUAACGGCCCACCAAGGCGACGAUCAGUAGCCGGACUGAGAGGUUGACCGGCCACAUUGGGACUGAGACACGGCCCAGACUCCUACGGGAGGCAGCAGUGGGGAAUAUUGCACAAUGGGGGAAACCCUGAUGCAGCGACGCCGCGUGAGCGAAGAAGUAUUUCGGUAUGUAAAGCUCUAUCAGCAGGGAAGAAGAAAUGACGGUACCUGACUAAGAAGCACCGGCUAAAUACGUG
Molecule: ribosomal RNA, 475 nt
Filed under: uncultured bacterium
Lineage: Bacteria
Description: bacterial SSU rRNA
Rfam family: Bacterial small subunit ribosomal RNA
Source: RNAcentral